AUUGAACGCUGGCGGAAUGCUUUACACAUGCAAGUCGAACGGCAGCACGGGGCAACCUGGUGGCGAGUGGCGAACGGGUGAGUAAUACAUCGGAACGUGCCCAAUCGUGGGGGGAUAACGUAGCGAAAGUUACGCUAAUACCGCAUACGAUCUACGGAUGAAAGCGGGGGAUCGCAAGACCUCGCGCGAAUGGAGCGGCCGAUGUCAGAUUAGGUAGUUGGUGGGGUAAAGGCUCACCAAGCCAACGAUCUGUAGCUGGUCUGAGAGGACGACCAGCCACACUGGAACUGAGACACGGUCCAGACUCCUACGGGAGGCAGCAAUGGGGAAUUUUGGACAAUGGGCGCAAGCCUGAUCCAGCCAUUCCGCGUGCAGGAUGAAGGCCUUCGGGUUGUAACUGCUUUGUACGGUACGAACGGACGAGCUCUAAUACAGUUUGCUAAUGACGGUACCGUAACGAAUAAGACACCGGCUAACUACGUAGCCAGCAGCCGCGGUAAU
RNAcentral lists this ribosomal RNA (501 nucleotides) under uncultured bacterium. Its description in RNAcentral is "bacterial SSU rRNA". It matches the Rfam family "Bacterial small subunit ribosomal RNA", at positions 30 to 524 of the family's 1533-position model. The record is from RNAcentral.